GAUGAAGAACGUAGCGAAAUGCGAUAAGUAAUGUGAAUUGCAGAAUUCAGUGAAUCAUCGAAUCUUUGAACGCACAUUGCGCCCAUCAGUAUUCUGUUGGGCAUGCCUGUCCGAGCGUCAUUUCAACCCUCAGGGCCCGUUCGCGGGAACUGGUGUUGGGGAUCGGCCUCCCCCCGGAGGCCGGCCCCGAAAUGCAGUGGCGGCUCUACCGCGAUCUCCUCUGUGUAGUAGCACACACCUCGCACCGGAGCGCGGAGGCGGUCACGCCGUAAAACGCCCAACUUUCUUAGAGUUGACCUCGGAUCAGGUAGGAAUACCCGCUGAACUUAAGCAUAUCAAUAAGCGGAGGA
RNAcentral lists this unclassified non-coding RNA (350 nucleotides) under soil metagenome. RNAcentral's name for it is "partial contains 5.8S ribosomal RNA, internal transcribed spacer 2, and large subunit ribosomal RNA". The stretch from base 1 to 120 matches the Rfam family "5.8S ribosomal RNA", at positions 35 to 154 of the family's 154-position model. The record is from RNAcentral.